RNAcentral lists this long non-coding RNA (260 nucleotides) under Olea europaea subsp. europaea. The record is from RNAcentral. Lineage: Eukaryota; Viridiplantae; Streptophyta; Magnoliopsida; Lamiales; Oleaceae.
GCGAGACAAUCUGAUGCAUCAACGAAAGGGGUGACUGAGUCGUCAUAUGCUUAUGUGGUGGUGGUGUUUAUUUUAUUUUCAUGCUUUUCACGUUCCGAACUUUUUUCUCCAUCCUAGGCGUGGGCAGAGCUGUAACAUGAAAUUUGGCAGUAGACAAUUUUUUUGCCUCAUGUGAAUCUUACUGCCAUCCUGGUGAUGUGUACUUUAGGUAUUAUUAUAUAUAUUCCAUUUACCAUGUGAACUUGCUAGAAAGGUUGUGG